This 3422-nucleotide ribosomal RNA is filed under the name Halomonas caseinilytica. The record is from RNAcentral. Lineage: Bacteria; Pseudomonadati; Pseudomonadota; Gammaproteobacteria; Oceanospirillales; Halomonadaceae.
GGUAGGCUCCACCACCCAACAGUCCAUGUGACGAGACCAGUCGCAAGUCUUGAGACAUAGAAGAGGUUCUUUCUUCUUCACUCUUAUGACUUCCGACUGUUCUUCGAACAGUCGCUCUUUAACAAUGUAAUCCUGCUGACAGUUCCUUUCGAAAGAAAGGACAUGAGAUACGUCUCAAGCGUAUCCGGCAAUUGUCGUUGAGUCAUCGCGACCAGACUCCUUCGGGUUAUAUGGUCAAGCGAUGAAGCGCACACGGUGGAUGCCUAGGCAGCCAGAGGCGAUGAAGGACGUGGAAGCCUGCGAUAAGGCUCGGCGAGGUGGCAAACAACCUGCGACCCGGGCAUUUCCGAAUGGGGAAACCCACCCAUCGCAAGAUGGGUAUCGUUGACUGAAUCCAUAGGUCAACGAGGCGAACCGGGGGAACUGAAACAUCUCAGUACCCCGAGGAAAAGAAAUCAACCGAGAUUCCCCCAGUAGCGGCGAGCGACCGGGGAGUAGCCCUUAAGCAGGUGAUUGAUUAGGCGAACGAGCUGGGAAGCUCGACGAUACAGGGUGAUAGUCCCGUAGCCGAAAAUCUGAUCCUGUGAAAUCGAGUAGGUCGGGGCACGUGAAACCUUGACUGAAGACGGGGGGACCAUCCUCCAAGGCUAAAUACUCCUGGCUGACCGAUAGUGAACCAGUACCGUGAGGGAAAGGCGAAAAGAACCCCGGAGAGGGGAGUGAAAUAGAUCCUGAAACCGUGUGCGUACAAGCAGUGGGAGCAGGCAGGUCCUGUGACCGCGUACCUUUUGUAUAAUGGGUCAGCGACUUAUUUUCAGUGGCGAGCUUAACCGAUUAGGGGAGGCGUAGAGAAAUCGAGUCUUAACUGGGCGACCAGUCGCUGGAAAUAGACCCGAAACCGGGCGAUCUAUCCAUGAGCAGGUUGAAGGUUGAGUAACAUCAACUGGAGGACCGAACCAGGAUCUGUUGAAAAAGAUUUGGAUGACUUGUGGAUCGGAGUGAAAGGCUAAUCAAGCCCGGAGAUAGCUGGUUCUCCUCGAAAGCUAUUUAGGUAGCGCCUCACGUAUCACCGCCGGGGGUAGAGCACUGUUUCGGCUAGGGGGCCAUCCCGGCUUACCAACCCGAGGCAAACUCCGAAUACCGGUGAGUGCAAGCGUGGGAGACACACAGCGGGUGCUAACGUCCGUUGUGAAAAGGGAAACAACCCAGACCGUCAGCUAAGGUCCCGAAAUCCUGGUUAAGUGGGAAACGAUGUGGGAAGGCUUAGACAGCUAGGAGGUUGGCUUAGAAGCAGCCAUCCUUUAAAGAAAGCGUAAUAGCUCACUAGUCGAGUCGGCCUGCGCGGAAGAUGUAACGGGGCUCAAACCAGGUACCGAAGCUACGGGUUCAUCCUCUGGAUGAGCGGUAGAGGAGCGUCGUGUACGCCGAUGAAGGUGAGUCGAAAGGCUUGCUGGAGGUAUCACGAGUGCGAAUGCUGACAUGAGUAACGAUAAGGGGAGUGAAAAACUCCCCCGCCGGAAGACCAAGGGUUUCUGUUCGACGCUAAUCGGAGCAGAGUGAGUCGGCCCCUAAGGCGAGGCCGAAAGGCGUAGUCGAUGGGAAACGGGUCAAUAUUCCCGUACCUCACUGUAUUGCGAUGGGGGGACGAAGAAGGCUAGGUGAGCCAGGCGUUGGUUGUCCUGGUGAAAGUCAGUAGGCUGGGGAAUCAGGCAAAUCCGGUUCCCCAAGGCCGAGAGACGAGACGAACAGACUACGGUCUGGAAGUCAUUGAUGCCACGCUUCCAGGAAAAGCCUCUAAGCUUCAGAUACAGUGGGACCGUACCCCAAACCGACACAGGUGGUCAGGGUGAGAAUCCCAAGGCGCUUGAGAGAACUCGGGUGAAGGAACUAGGCAAAAUGGUGCCGUAACUUCGGGAGAAGGCACGCCGCCGUUACGUGAAGGCCCUCGCGGCUGGAGCGGAAGGCGGUCGAAGAUACCAGGUGGCUGCAACUGUUUAUUAAAAACACAGUACUCUGCAAACGCGUAAGCGGACGUAUAGGGUAUGACGCCUGCCCGGUGCCGGAAGGUUAAUUGAUGGUGUUAGCGUAAGCGAAGCUCCUGAUCGAAGCCCCGGUAAACGGCGGCCGUAACUAUAACGGUCCUAAGGUAGCGAAAUUCCUUGUCGGGUAAGUUCCGACCUGCACGAAUGGCGUAAUGAUGGCCACGCUGUCUCCACCCGAGACUCAGUGAAAUUGAAAUCGCAGUGAAGAUGCUGUGUACCCGCGGCUAGACGGAAAGACCCCGUGAACCUUUACUACAGCUUCACACUGGACGCUGAUGUUGCUUGUGUAGGAUAGCUGGGAGGCUUUGAAACGGUAGCGCCAGCUACCGUGGAGCCAACCUUGAAAUACCAGCCUGGCAUCAUUGGCGUUCUAACUCAGGUCCGUUAUCCGGAUCGAGGACCGUGUGUGGUGGGUAGUUUGACUGGGGCGGUCUCCUCCCAAAGUGUAACGGAGGAGCACGAAGGUACCCUCAGCACGGUCGGAAAUCGUGCAAUGAGUGCAAGAGCAUAAGGGUGCUUAACUGCGAGACAGACACGUCGAGCAGAUACGAAAGUAGGUUCUAGUGAUCCGGUGGUUCUGUAUGGAAGGGCCAUCGCUCAACGGAUAAAAGGUACUCCGGGGAUAACAGGCUGAUACCGCCCAAGAGUUCACAUCGACGGCGGUGUUUGGCACCUCGAUGUCGGCUCAUCACAUCCUGGGGCUGAAGUCGGUCCCAAGGGUAUGGCUGUUCGCCAUUUAAAGUGGUACGCGAGCUGGGUUUAGAACGUCGUGAGACAGUUCGGUCCCUAUCUGCCGUGGGCGUUGGAGAUUUGAGAAGUGCUGCUCCUAGUACGAGAGGACCGGAGUGGACGACCCUCUGGUGUACCGGUUGUCACGCCCGUGGCAUUGCCGGGUAGCUAAGGUCGGACGGGAUAACCGCUGAAAGCAUCUAAGCGGGAAGCCUCCUUCAAGAUGAGAUCUCCCCGAGGCCUCGAGCCUCCUGAAGGGUCCAGCAAGACGAGCUGGUUGAUAGGCCGGAUGUGGAAGCGCUGCAAGGCGUUGAGCUGACCGGUACUAAUGGCCCGUGAGGCUUGACCAUAUAACACCCAAGGAGUCUGGAUGACAGACGACGCCGGGUACGCACGAGACGUAUCGUCAGCAGGAUUGCAUUGACUUUUUCGCCUGACGACCAUAGCGAGUGGGCACCACCUGAUCCCAUGCCGAACUCAGCAGUGAAACCGCUCAGCGCCGAUGGUAGUGUGGGAGUUCCCAUGCGAGAGUAGGUCAUCGUCAGGCACUUACAUGAAAAAUCCCCCGGUACUCCCGGGGGAUUUUUUUAUUAGGUCAUCGUCAGGCACUUACAUGAAAAAUCCCCCGGUACUCCCGGGGGAUUUUUUUAU